This 1550-nucleotide ribosomal RNA is filed under the name Klebsiella variicola. RNAcentral's name for it is "bacterial SSU rRNA". It matches the Rfam family "Bacterial small subunit ribosomal RNA". Lineage: Bacteria; Pseudomonadati; Pseudomonadota; Gammaproteobacteria; Enterobacterales; Enterobacteriaceae. The record is from RNAcentral.
AAAUUGAAGAGUUUGAUCAUGGCUCAGAUUGAACGCUGGCGGCAGGCCUAACACAUGCAAGUCGAGCGGUAGCACAGAGAGCUUGCUCUCGGGUGACGAGCGGCGGACGGGUGAGUAAUGUCUGGGAAACUGCCUGAUGGAGGGGGAUAACUACUGGAAACGGUAGCUAAUACCGCAUAAUGUCGCAAGACCAAAGUGGGGGACCUUCGGGCCUCAUGCCAUCAGAUGUGCCCAGAUGGGAUUAGCUAGUAGGUGGGGUAACGGCUCACCUAGGCGACGAUCCCUAGCUGGUCUGAGAGGAUGACCAGCCACACUGGAACUGAGACACGGUCCAGACUCCUACGGGAGGCAGCAGUGGGGAAUAUUGCACAAUGGGCGCAAGCCUGAUGCAGCCAUGCCGCGUGUGUGAAGAAGGCCUUCGGGUUGUAAAGCACUUUCAGCGGGGAGGAAGGCGGUGAGGUUAAUAACCUCACCGAUUGACGUUACCCGCAGAAGAAGCACCGGCUAACUCCGUGCCAGCAGCCGCGGUAAUACGGAGGGUGCAAGCGUUAAUCGGAAUUACUGGGCGUAAAGCGCACGCAGGCGGUCUGUCAAGUCGGAUGUGAAAUCCCCGGGCUCAACCUGGGAACUGCAUUCGAAACUGGCAGGCUAGAGUCUUGUAGAGGGGGGUAGAAUUCCAGGUGUAGCGGUGAAAUGCGUAGAGAUCUGGAGGAAUACCGGUGGCGAAGGCGGCCCCCUGGACAAAGACUGACGCUCAGGUGCGAAAGCGUGGGGAGCAAACAGGAUUAGAUACCCUGGUAGUCCACGCUGUAAACGAUGUCGAUUUGGAGGUUGUGCCCUUGAGGCGUGGCUUCCGGAGCUAACGCGUUAAAUCGACCGCCUGGGGAGUACGGCCGCAAGGUUAAAACUCAAAUGAAUUGACGGGGGCCCGCACAAGCGGUGGAGCAUGUGGUUUAAUUCGAUGCAACGCGAAGAACCUUACCUGGUCUUGACAUCCACAGAACUUAGCAGAGAUGCUUUGGUGCCUUCGGGAACUGUGAGACAGGUGCUGCAUGGCUGUCGUCAGCUCGUGUUGUGAAAUGUUGGGUUAAGUCCCGCAACGAGCGCAACCCUUAUCCUUUGUUGCCAGCGGUUAGGCCGGGAACUCAAAGGAGACUGCCAGUGAUAAACUGGAGGAAGGUGGGGAUGACGUCAAGUCAUCAUGGCCCUUACGACCAGGGCUACACACGUGCUACAAUGGCAUAUACAAAGAGAAGCGACCUCGCGAGAGCAAGCGGACCUCAUAAAGUAUGUCGUAGUCCGGAUUGGAGUCUGCAACUCGACUCCAUGAAGUCGGAAUCGCUAGUAAUCGUAGAUCAGAAUGCUACGGUGAAUACGUUCCCGGGCCUUGUACACACCGCCCGUCACACCAUGGGAGUGGGUUGCAAAAGAAGUAGGUAGCUUAACCUUCGGGAGGGCGCUUACCACUUUGUGAUUCAUGACUGGGGUGAAGUCGUAACAAGGUAACCGUAGGGGAACCUGCGGUUGGAUCACCUCCUUACCUUAAAGAA